RNAcentral lists this long non-coding RNA (1032 nucleotides) under Capra hircus (goat). RNAcentral's name for it is "lncRNA (ENSCHIG00000000918.1)". Lineage: Eukaryota; Metazoa; Chordata; Mammalia; Artiodactyla; Bovidae. The record is from RNAcentral.
AUAUGCCAACAAUCAUGCAGUGUUAACAUUUAGGAGUGUGAAAAACACUCAACAGUUUCCAAAGGGAUAUAUAUGUGAUAUGGUCUUCAUUUCAGAGAAGCAUAAGUGACUGAAUCCCUGUCUGCUCUUUAGUGUUUCACCUAACCAUUCCAUAGCCUCAUCAAAGCAAGUGCCUUUGAUUACUGAAGUUUUGAAUAUUUGCUAUUUUCAGUCCUUCAAGACAGGUGGCUCAAGUGAAUUUGCCAUCUCUGAGGGAGUCAUGUCCUGUUCCGUUGUCCUGCUUAUUUGUAAACCCCCUAAAAUGGCUCUUCUCAGCUCUUCUUCCUCCAACUUGGCAACUAACUCUGAUUUUGAAAUACCAAUUUGGUCUUGGUCACCACAAUCUACUACAUAGAUGACUGCAUGAGAGUUUGAAUAAUAACAUCAGUUGUCUGCCCUCCCAAAUCCCAGACUUGGAAUUUAAGGUUUUUGUAUGUUACCAUCUCAAUAUUAAAUCCAAUGGUAGGAAUAGUAGCAAUGACUUCUCCAGCCUGUAAUCAGUACAAAAUUGUGGUUUUUCCUGCUCCAUCUAAUCCCAAAAUUAAAAUUCUCAUUUCCUAGGUUCUAAACAAACUGGAAAAAAUGCUUGAGAAAAUGUUACCCAUGAUGAACCACCUAUCCACCCUCAUCAACCAAAGCCAGUUCAGCUCCCAGGCAGUUUUCUUGAAAACUUGCUUAGCCUGCAACUUCUGCAUUGGACUCCUGGCAGUGCUUGGAGCAAGGGGCAAUGGCGACUGCACACCAGGAAACUGGUUCUGCUACCUAAUUUGGUAAAUUUCUUUGGAAAUAAUUCCAUUACCCGUGGGUAUCAACUGGACUUAACAUAUCAACAGCUAAGGAUGCCUGAAACAAUUGCUAAGGAUGCCUCUACAGACCUUCAUUAUAGUCCAUGCAUCAGGUAAGUUUCUCUCUAUUAUAUCCCAUAGAAAUCAGAGUACUGUCUUAAAAUACCAGAAUCCUUUUAUAUUCAAAUUGCUCUCCAUGAAGGACAGC